GACGAACGCUGGCGGCGUGCUUAACACAUGCAAGUCGAACGCUGAAGCUUGGUGCUUGCACUGGGUGGAUGAGUGGCGAACGGGUGAGUAAUACGUGAGUAACCUGCCCUUGACUCUGGGAUAAGCCUGGGAAACUGGGUCUAAUACUGGAUACGACAUGUCACCGCAUGGUGGUGUGUGGAAAGGGUUUUACUGGUUUUGGAUGGGCUCACGGCCUAUCAGCUUGUUGGUGGGGUAAUGGCCCACCAAGGCGACGACGGGUAGCCGGCCUGAGAGGGUGACCGGCCACACUGGGACUGGGACACGGCCCAGACUCCUACGGGAGGCAGCAGUGGGGAAUAUUGCACAAUGGGCGGAAGCCUGAUGCAGCGACGCCGCGUGGGGGAUGACGGCCUUCGGGUUGUAAACCUCUUUCAGCACGGAAGAAGCGAAAGUGACGGUACGUGCAGAAGAAGCGCCGGCUAACUACGUG
Molecule: ribosomal RNA, 472 nt
Filed under: uncultured bacterium
Lineage: Bacteria
Description: partial 16S ribosomal RNA
Rfam family: Bacterial small subunit ribosomal RNA
Source: RNAcentral